UGUGACGAGUUUGAUCCUGGCUCAGGAUGAACGCUGGCGGCGUGCCUAAUACAUGCAAGUCGAACGGGAAACUUUUUUCGAAAGUUGAGAGUGGCGCACGGGUGAGUAACACGUAGCUAAUCUGCCCUCAAGAGCGGGAUAACGCGCCGAAAGGUGUGCUAAUACCGCAUAAGCUCACGGACUGUAGAGGUCUAUGAGAAAAGCUCAGGCGCUUGAGGAGGAGGCUGCGGCCCAUCAGCUAGUUGGUGAGGUAAUGGCUUACCAAGGCGACGACGGGUAGGGGACCUGAGAGGGUGACCCCCCACACUGGGACUGAGACACGGCCCAGACUCCUACGGGAGGCAGCAGUAAGGAAUAUUGCUCAAUGGGCGCAAGCCUGAAGCAGCGACGCCGCGUGGGUGAUGAAGGUUUUCGGAUCGUAAAGCCCUUUUUCUGCGUGACGAGGAAGGACGGUAGCGCAGGAAUAAGUCUCGGCUAACUACGUG
This 485-nucleotide ribosomal RNA is filed under the name uncultured bacterium. Its description in RNAcentral is "bacterial SSU rRNA". It matches the Rfam family "Bacterial small subunit ribosomal RNA", at positions 1 to 507 of the family's 1533-position model. The record is from RNAcentral.